CCUACGGGAGGCAGCAGUGAGGAAUAUUGGUCAAUGGCCGCGAGCCUGAACCAGCCAAGUCGCGUGAAGGAUGACGGAUCUAUGGUUUGUAAACUUCUUUUAUAAAGGAAUAAAGUUAUCCACGUGUGGAUAUUUGCAUGUACUUUAUGAAUAAGCAUCGGCUAACUCCGUGCCAGCAGCCGCGGUAAUACGGAGGAUGCGAGCGUUAUCCGGAUUUAUUGGGUUUAAAGGGAGCGUAGGUGGGUUGUUAAGUCAGCGGUGAAAGUUUGUGGCUCAACCAUAAAAUUGCAGUUGAUACUGGAAGACUUGAGUGUGGUUGAGGUAGGCGGAAUUCGUGGUGUAGCGGUGAAAUGCAUAGAUAUCACGAAGAACUCCGAUUGCGAAGGCAGCUUACUAAGCUACCACUGACAUUGAUGCACGAAAGUGUGGGGAUCAAACAGGAUUAGAUACCCGAGUAGUC
RNAcentral lists this ribosomal RNA (460 nucleotides) under uncultured bacterium. RNAcentral describes it as "partial 16S ribosomal RNA". It matches the Rfam family "Bacterial small subunit ribosomal RNA", at positions 338 to 795 of the family's 1533-position model. The record is from RNAcentral.